GGGGGCGAAUGACAAGAUUCGAACCUGCAACCUUUGGAUCCACAGACCAACGCUCUACCCUUGAGCUACAAUCGCC
This 76-nucleotide transfer RNA is filed under the name Coelastrum sp. F187. Its description in RNAcentral is "tRNA-His". Lineage: Eukaryota; Viridiplantae; Chlorophyta; Chlorophyceae; Sphaeropleales; Scenedesmaceae. The record is from RNAcentral.